RNAcentral lists this ribosomal RNA (253 nucleotides) under uncultured bacterium. RNAcentral describes it as "partial 16S ribosomal RNA". It matches the Rfam family "Bacterial small subunit ribosomal RNA", at positions 524 to 776 of the family's 1533-position model. The record is from RNAcentral.
UACAGAGGGUGCAAGCGUUGUUCGGAAUUAUUGGGCGUAAAGCGCUUGUAGGCGGUCUGUUAAGUCGCGUGUGAAAUCCCCAGGCUUAACCUGGGAAGUGCGCGCGAAACUGGCGGACUUGAGUGCCGGAGAGGGUCGCGGAAUUCCCGGUGUAGAGGUGAAAUUCGUAGAUAUUGGGAAGAACACCGGUGGCGAAGGCGGCUCACUGGCUCAUUACUGACGCUCAGGCGCGAUAGCGUGGGGAUCAAACAGG